Molecule: long non-coding RNA, 2462 nt
Filed under: Sus scrofa (pig)
Lineage: Eukaryota; Metazoa; Chordata; Mammalia; Artiodactyla; Suidae
Description: lncRNA (ENSSSCG00025006537.1)
Source: RNAcentral
GGAAUAGAGCAGCUUCUAGUAACAAUCCCCGAACCUCUUUCAGCCGCUGGAGAAGUCCAGCCUGCCCACAGGACAGAGGAGGGUGACGCUUCCUCUGAGGAGCCUGGAGGCCAGGGCACAGCUGGCCACCCUAGGAGGUUUUCAGCGCCAUGGGCUGCAGUUCUGCCUGCUCUGCUGUCUCCCAGGGUCGUGAUGACAGCGCACCCAUGUGCUGAGAGAGUCCACGUAGUGACAGAGAGGACAGGGAAGGAGCAGCUGGGAGGGAGGGAGGAAGGGCCAGAGCCGCAGAGGCAGUGGGUGGGACCGGCAGCCAGUGCUCCCCCGUAGACAGAGGGAAGGUUCAGGGGACAGGCUGGCUUCCUAGUAAACAGUGCAGCCAACUCUAAAAAUACCCCUGCUCCAGACAGGCACCCUGAGCAACUCAGGUCUGCUCCAGCCUUCAGGGACCUCAGCCCCUUCCCUGGAAGGUCAAGGGGAUGGGAGGAAAGUCAACUUGUAAAGAGUAGGAUUUCCUUAGGGAGGAAACGAUAACAAUAUUUCCUUCCUCUGCAAAACAGAAGGGGGACACUCAGAUUUUAGCAGCAGCAACAACAAAAGGCAAGAGGCAGCUUACCUUGUUCCUUUGGUAGUUAUCUGAGGUCUGGGCUCAGCUCAGGUCUAAGGCCUAGAGAUGCAUUCACAGCCUGGGAUCAGGGAGCCGGGAGGAGGGCCAGGCUGGAAUCUCUAGCUGUUCCCCUUCUUAGGUGUGUGACUAUGACUCACCAUUUGAUGCCUCAGUUUCCACAAUUAUAAAUGGGAAUAAUGAUAAUGUUUACUUCACUCGGGUGUGGGGAGGAUUAAAUGAGGUGCUAUAUAUAAGGCUCUUAGCACACCAUGCCUGACCUGUGGGGAACACCCAGAAAGGUCUUAUUAUUAGGGUAUGUGGGAGGCUGUAACUGUGCCUCAAUUCUAAGACGUAGUUUAAAGGAAGAUUUAGUCAGAAGAUCAAGGGAGUGGUAUUGGAUACAAAGACAUGGGAAAGGUCUGAAUCAUAGAAAAGUCAAAUCCACUAUUGGACAGAUGGGGAAACGGAGGCCUGGGGAGCAGAAAGUAGAAGUUGCGCCAGGCCAGGCAUUGUCUUAGCAGCUGUAGGUUUAAUGUAAAAUAAUGGUGUGAUGAGACCGCUAAAAACCCUGGUGACAGGCAGGCUGCCCCGCUAGGAGUUAGGAGAAUGAGGCCUUGCAUUAUAUAGCACUUUUCUUUCUUUUUUUUCCCCAUUUAUAAUGAUUUUUAUUUUUUCCAUUAUAGCUGGUUUACAGUGUUCUGUUAAUUUUCUACUGUACAGUAAGGUGAUCCAGUUACAGAACUCAUCCCUAGGGCUGGUGACUGAGUUAUCACUGCAGACGGCACCCUUGAACCCAUGGGGGAGAGGCACAGGCAGGAAGAGCUUAGCUCGGCCUAAAGGAGAAUCUUCUAAACCUGUGUUCUACGUAUGGUAGACACUAGCUAGAUGUGGCCAUGGGGUGCCUGAAAUGUGGCUAGUCUGGAUUUUAAAGACAAUAAUAAAAAAAGGUAAAAUAUCGCCAUCAUUUUUUAUUGGUUCCAUACUGAAAUGUUAUUUUUAGAUCCAUUGAGGGUAAAUAAUAUAUAUUGUUAAAAUGAAUUUUGCCUGUCCUUUUUAGUUUUUUUCUUGUGGCUUCUAGAAAGCUUAGAGCCAUACUUGGGGCUUGCAGUAUCUUUCGAUUGGGCAGUGCUGUUCUAACCAGUGCAUUUGUACAACAAUGGAACAAGCUGUCUGGCCAGGUAGUGAGCCUCUCAUUCUUGGAGAUGUUUUAAAAAGUUGUUGUUCAUAGAAUUCUUAUAGUUAGUGGGAUAAACUCUGUAAUCCCUUUAAUUCUGCUUCAGUUGUGGUUCCCAGCUGUGAGUCUCCGAGGAGCACUUGCCUCUUAGACCAUGAAAAGAUGUUACAGGAAAAAAGACUGAUGGUCCAUUUAAUAUGGGAAAUUCUUGGUUGGAAAAAAAAAAAAAGUUAAGUUUUUCUCACUCCAGGACUUCACAGAACUUUCUAGAUACAAAAUUACACUGUGGGUCUUUAUGACAGGGACACUGUAGUCAGCAUUCCCCAUAUUAAAUUGGUCACAGAACAUGACCAGGAAAUAAUUUAUUAUUAAGUUCAUUCCUUAAGAAUUGCUGGCCUCAAGUUCUUAAAAAAAAUUAAAAUAAAUAAAUAAAUAGAGUCGGGAGCUCCCAUUGUGGCUCAGUGGUAAUGAACCUGACUAGUAUGCAUGGAAAGAGGAUUCGCUCAAUCCUUGGCCUUGCUCAGUGGGUUAAGGAUCCAGCAUUGCCAUGAGCUGUGGUGUAGGUUGAAGAUGCGUCUCAGAUCCAGCGUUGCUGUGGCUGUGGCGUAGGCCGCCAACUGUAGCUCUGAUUCAACCCCUAGCCUGGGAACUUCCAUAUGCCAUGGGUGUGGCCCUAAAAAGACA